CGGAGAGGAAGAUGGAGAAGAACAUGGAAGGGAGAUCACAGGGAGUCCAGAAAUCCCUGUCAUUCCAAGCGUGGGCUGUGUUUCCACAACUCUCCACAGGGCCUUCAUCAAGCAGAGCUCUUUGGAGAGCCUAAUGUUGGGUUGGUGGUCUCUGCCCAGAAAUGUUAUGGGCAGUAGAUGGCCUUAACCCCCCUUUCUAAGAACUUCCAGGAAGAGUCUAAGGGUACGGCUUUUCUUGUGAACCCGAUUCCUUUUCCUUUCUUCUUUCAGAACUAAGGUCCCUCCCAGUUUGGCCACCAAACAGUGCCAAGCCCUCUGGUCUCCAGAGGAGAGAUUACUGUAUUACAUAGAAGGAUCAAGGGUAAUCAGGCCAAUUGGGGCGGUAGUGUUGGUUUUUUAAAAUCUAUAUUUAUACCCAGUCUUGUUUCUUUAAGCCCAUACUCUGUCUCUUCCUCCCUGUCCCUCUCAGGUGACGGUAUCAGUGAGUGCCAUACAGAAUUCUGUAUUCACCAGCAUCAUGAAACAGUUUUGGUCUUUUGAGUUGAUCUUGGCAGAGUAAAGGGACAUGUCCUGGAGUCAUUCCUGAAUACCCCUCCCCUUUGUGACAGUUCUCUCCCCACUUCACCCUCUCAAAAAAAACAAAAACAAAAAACAAAACCUAAGGCACUUCAUUUAGAGACUGGAGUCCUGCUUAUAAUCAUGCUUAUAACCUUUACUUUGAUGGAUCUGGCCAGAGGGGUGUUGGAGCCCAGCCCACCCACAUACCAGACAAGCUCUUAGGGGAGCAGAAGAAAAGCAGGAAGAAUUUCAAUGUUUAAUUUUUUUUAAAUUGACUUUUCUAGUUAUUAAAAGUUGCUUGUCUCAGCAGUGAUAUUGUAUAAAGAACAUCUUGUAAAAUAUUUCUGUCAUCUUGCUUUGGCACAUGUACAGUACAAUUUAUAUGAUAAUGUGUUUGCUUUACUUUACCCCAUCUCCUCCCUCAGCCCGUCCUCUCUCCUUCAGAGAAGUUGGGCUGGAGGCUCAGCAGGGCAAGCAGUGGCGCCUGGUGGUGACGGGGGCGUCCCUCUGCCUGCUGUGGUGGCUGUUUCCGCCUCCUUCCGCGCCUGUUCUGGCCGCAGACUUGGAAUUCCCUGAGAACCUGAAUCUUUGAGUGGCCCGUGUCAGUGGGGGAUGGGAGGAGGGUAGGGAGGGGCUCAGACAGCCCCCUCCCACAGUGAGUCUAGCGCUAGUGGUUAGAUUUAGGCAAAACUUUGUAGUCUUCUUUCCCUUUUAUGGCAGAUUUUGAUAAAAAUGCAAAACAGGGUUUAAUUUUCUUUUCUAUCAACUUUUAAUUUGGAAGAUUUGAGCACCUAAGCUCUUCUGUAUCUAUUUGAAUUAAGGGAAAAAAAGUCCACCAAGGGGAUUGCAUCUCAUAGGACCUGAGAAUAAAGCCUCGUUAUAUUAAACUUCAAGGUGUGGUCCCUGUCUCUCCCCUGUCCUCCUCGCCCAGGGACUUUGGGGAUUUGUUCCAGUGGCUGCUGGAUAGGUUUACCGUCCCUUCUCCCACAGGCUUGGAGUUAGCACUGACAUUACAACUUCGUAAUCCCAGCCACCAACACCUUCCCGUUUCUACCCUAGAGCCAGUCUGUUCUUGUUAACAGUGCGAAACCCGUGUUCCCACUUCAGUGACACCUGAAUUGUUUGUUGUUUUUUUAAUGGUCUUUAAGGAGGAAGGACCCCAUUAAAGGGUAAACUUGUAAUAAAUUGGAAUUUCAAAUAAACAUUAUGUACUUGUGUUUAUAAAGAAAAAACAA
This 1793-nucleotide long non-coding RNA is filed under the name Equus asinus (donkey). RNAcentral's name for it is "lncRNA (ENSEASG00005026246.1)". The record is from RNAcentral. Lineage: Eukaryota; Metazoa; Chordata; Mammalia; Perissodactyla; Equidae.